GGGUGCGAUCAUACCAGCACUAAUGCACCGGAUCCCAUCAGAACUCUGCAGUUAAGGAGAACUAGGAUGGGUGACCUCCUGGGAAGUCCUCGUGUUGCACCCC
RNAcentral lists this ribosomal RNA (103 nucleotides) under Gossypium hirsutum (cotton). The record is from RNAcentral. Lineage: Eukaryota; Viridiplantae; Streptophyta; Magnoliopsida; Malvales; Malvaceae.